GACGAACGCUGGCGGCAUGCCUAAUACAUGCAAGUCGAACGCCUUAAUUUCACCGGGUGCUUGCACCCAUCGGAGUUAAGGAGUGGCGGACGGGUGAGUAACACGUGGGUAACCUGCCCAUAAGAGGGGGAUAACAUUCGGAAACGGAUGCUAAUACCGCAUAUUUCUAAUCGUCUCCUGACGAAUGGAAGAAAGGUGGCUUCGGCUACCGCUUAUGGAUGGACCCGCGGCGUAUUAGCUAGUUGGUGGGGUAAUGGCCUACCAAGGCAACGAUGCGUAGCCGACCUGAGAGGGUGAUCGGCCACACUGGGACUGAGACACGGCCCAG
Molecule: ribosomal RNA, 328 nt
Filed under: uncultured bacterium
Lineage: Bacteria
Description: bacterial SSU rRNA
Rfam family: Bacterial small subunit ribosomal RNA
Source: RNAcentral